UCUGCUGUCCUGAUUGGUUGAUUUCCAUUAUUUUAUCUUCCAAGUCACUAAUUCAUUCCUCUGCAUUACUCUCUGCUCUUUGGUGCCUUUAACUCAGUUUUCAUUUCUACAUAUGAAUUUUGUAAUUUUUCUAUGUUCUUCCAUAUAUUUCCAAUUAUUUUCUAAAGGAAUAUGCAUUACUAUUCACAUCUGCUCUUAAUUCCUUGAUAUUCAGCCUUCAUUCCUUCAGUAUUUUCACUAUCCCCUUUUGAACCCAAUGUCUGUCAGACUGCGGAGGUCUGUUUCAUUUUUUGCUGUUUCAUGUGAAUUCUUCUGUUCCUUUAGCUGGGAACGGUUUCUGAGCUUCUUUAUCUUGCUUAUGUUUUUCUUUUUCUGUGAGUUUAGGGAAGCCAAUCUGUAGUCUUGGAGGGCUACUUCUAUACAAGAGCACCUUUCUUUAUCUUGUGGGGGGUUGCUAUGUAUUUUUGGCAUGAGAGUUUGAAUAUUUCCUGUCUCUUUCUUCAGUGUGAGCAGGCUGUUAUGCCAGAGUCCUGAGUGUGUUUCCAGGUAGAAAGAGGCAGUGGGUAGGGCUGGUAAUCAGUGCCUGGUUGCUGGGAUCUCAACAGCAACAAGGACCUGCAGGAAGAUGGUGCAGGCUACUCCUAGGUUCAGGGCCCUGGGAGGUGAGAAUGAGCCUUAGGCAGAUUUACAAGGAGCCCAGAGCAUUUGACAGUGGCAGCAGCAGAGUGUUUGAGUUCCCAGGGGAGUGAGAGCAACAACAGCUAGUGUUCAAUUACAGUGCCCUCCUCUGAGGUGACUGGAGCCACAAGUGGUGCCUUUCAGGGACCCCUAGUGGUAGCAGGCCACGCCUAUCCCUGGAGUCAGAGAUAACUGCAGUGGUUUGCCCCCAUCACCUGCAGACCACACAAGAAGCACCCCAUCUCACUUAGCCCACACAAGAGGUGCUACACAGCCUGCUUCUAGUUGCAGGAUCCUGGGAAGUGACAGAAGUCAAGUGUGUGGGCACUGCCCAGAGCAUUCAGCAGUGGAAGCAGUAGGGCAGGUGUGCUCCCAGUGGAGUGAGAGGAACAACUGGUGGUGUUCUAUUGCAAUGUCCUCCUCUGUGGUGCCCUGUGAGGUGGUUGGAGCUGCAAGCACUUCUUGUUCAGGGAUCCCCAGGCAGGUGUUUUCCCAGGGGAGUAAGAGCAACGUGUGGUGCUUGGUUGAGGUGCCCUCUUUUUUGGAUUCCGAGAUGACUGCUGCAGUCUGUCCCUGCUGCCUGUAGAUCACACAAGAAGCAACACAUUGCACUUAGCCCCCUGCUGCCCUUAGCCCACACAAGAAGUGCCCAGCCACCCAUAGCCUGCACAAGAAGCGCCCAGUUUCCUGUAGCCCAAGCACGUGGCUUCUCUGCAGCAGAGGUGCCCCACCCUCCAAGAGCCUGCGUGUGCGUGCACCAGGAAAUUCCCAUGGUGGUCCACCCCUCCUCCUGUUGACCUCCCCAACAAUGGCACAGCUUCUCCUGUGGGUCCAGAUCUUUUCCCUGGUUCCCUCUGCCAAGGUGUUUCAUUCCCCAGCCCAUAGCGCAUUGCUCCCCCACCUGUGGCACACUGCUCCUUAGCCUCUCAGGCUGUCCUCACACGGCCAACCCUAGUCCUCUCUCUGGAGCUGACCUCCAGAGCCUAAGUCUCAGCACCCAGCCCUUGUCGAAGAAUCUCAGCCUGUGGUGACUGGGGUGGUGGUGCAGAUAUCUGUGUGACUCUCACUCUACUGUGAGUGAGUAGAGUCCAGCUGCUGUGCUUCUCUUCGUGACUUUGAGGUCCCUCUGUCUUGGCUGAUUUCCUGGUGGGUUAGGUGGCUUCCCAGGAUGUGGGUUCCUUUUCUCCUUCACAGCUCCCUCUCAGGAAGGCUAGUCCCAUCUUGAUUCCUUUUCUGUCUCUCUUCUUUUGUUCUACCCAGUUAUGUCAAGAGUUUCUUGCCCUUUUUGGAGGCUUAAGUUCUUCUGCCAGCAUUCAGUAGAGGGUCUGUGUGAGUCGUUUUAUAUGUAGAUGUGUUUUUUUGAUGUGUUUGAGGGAAAAGGUGUGAAGUUUUACUCCUCUGCCAUCUUGAUCCAUCUGUUCAGAUCUUUUGCAUAUUCUUUAAUAUCAGCUUCCUUCUUUUCUUAUUAUAGUUUUGAGAGUUUUUAUAUAAUCUGGAAACAAGUUCUUUGUCAAAAACAUGAUUUUCUCCCCAUCUAUAGUUUGUAUUCUCUCUUUUAACAGUGUUUUCACAGACCUCAAGUCUUUAAUUUUUAUAAAGCUCAGAUUUUCUUUUCAUGUAUUUCACUAAAAUUUGACUGACCCCCAAAGCUUUUUUCUUCUAUAUUUUCUACAUAUAAGUUGUGAGCUAUGGGUCAAGUUGUGUGUGUGUGUUCUCAGGUGACUAUUGGGUGAGAAUACUGAACCCUAACCACUUGAAGUAGGUCUUCAGACCUUUGUCCCUUUGGAGACAUAAUUUGGCAUAGAGACUGAGGGUAGUGAGACAAAUAAGUGUUUAUUUAAAGAGAUAAGAGAGAGAAGACAGGUGCAGAGAAAGCUCAAGCACAGGCAAGCUCAGGGUGGAUGGAGAGGCAAAGAAAAAGAGACAGAGAGAAAGAAUAAGAGAGAGGAAGAGAGGCAACACAUGCUUUGGAGGUCAUUUAUUUAUUUUUUAAAUGUUUUAAUUAUUUUUUGUCUUUUUUUUUUGUCCUUUUAGGGCCACACCCACAGCAUGUGGAGGUUCCCAGUUCAGGGCGUCUCAUCAGAGCUGUAGCUGCCUGCCUACAGCACAGCCGCAGCAACACCAGAUCCAAGCCACAUCUGCAACCUACAUCACAGCUCACAGCAAUGCCAGAUCCUUAACCCACUGAGCGAGGUCAGGGAUCAAACCCACAACCUCAUGGUUUCUAGUCAGAUUCGUUUCCACUGUGCCAUGAGGAGAACUCCAUAAAUGUUUUAAUGAUUUUUAUUUUUUCCACUAUGGUUGGUUAUUUUUAUUUUUUCCACUAUGGUUGGUUUACAGCGUUCUGUCAAUUUCUACUGUAGAGCAAAUAUAUAUAUAUAUUCUUUUUCUCACAUUAUCCUCCAACAUAUUCCAUCACAAGUGAUUGGAUAUAGUUCCCUGUGCUAUACAGCAGGAUCUCAUUGCUUAUCCAUUUCAAAAUCAAUAGUUUGCAUCUAUUAACCCCAGACUCCCAGUCCAUCCCACUCCCUCCCCCUCUCCCUUGGCAACCACAAGUGUGUUCUCCAUUUCCAUGAUUUUCUUUUCUGUGGAAAGGUUCAUUUAUGCUAUUAGAUUCCAGAUAUGUGAUAUCAUAUGGUAUUUGUCUUCCUCUUUCUGACUUACUUCAUUCAAUAUGAGUCUCCAGUUCCAUCCAGGUUUCUGCAAAUGGCAUUAUUUUGUUCUAUUUUAUGCCUGAGCAGUAUUCCAUUGUGUAUAUUACCACUUCUACUUCAUUCAUUCAUCUGUCAAUGGACAUUUAGGUUGUUUCCAUGUCUUGGCUAUUGUGAACAGUGCUUCAAUGAACAUGCAGGUGCAUGUGUCUUUUUCUAGGAAAGUUUUGUCUGGAUAUAUGCCCAAGAGUGGGAUUGCUGGGUCAUAUGGUAGUUCUAUGUAUAGUUUUCUAAGGUACCUCCAUACUGUUUUCCAUAGUGGUUGUAUCAAUUUACAUUCCCACAAACAGUGCAGGAGGGUAUUCUUUUCCACAUCCUCUCCAGCUUUUGUUAUUUGUCGACUUGUUGAUGAUGGCCAUUCUGAUAGGUGUGAGGUGGUACCUCAUGGUAGUUUUGAUUUGCAUUUCUCUAAUAGUCAGUGAUGUUGGCCAUCUGUUUAUCUUCCUUGGAGAAAUGUCUAUUCAGGUCUUUUGCCCAUUUUUUCAAUUGGGCUGUUGGCUUUUUUGCUGUUGAGUUGCCUAAGUUGUUUGUAUAUUUUAGAGAUUAAGCCCUUGUCAGUUGCAUUGUUUGAAACUAUUUUCUCCCAUUCUUUAAGUUGUCUUUUUUGUCUCUUUAUGGUUUCCUUUGCUGUGCAAAAGCUUGUCAGUUUGAUUAGGUCCCACUGGUUUAUUUUUGCUUUUAUUUCUGUUGAUUUGGGUUUGGAGGUCAUUUGCAUAACUUGUUAGAGGCAGUAUUUCCGGGCUUCCUCUGGCCAGUCAUCUUGCUUUGUCUGGCCUUGGCCUGAAUCAGAGCCCUGGCCUCAGGAUGAAUUUUUAGCACAAGGGUUUCUGGGAAGUUGACAGGAUGUAUUAUGCUCUGGUGCCCCUCCUUUCUCUGACCCCUGAGGUAUCUUUCUGUGAGUGUGUAGUUACAGAGGUCUCAUUGACCUCAGGAAUGAGAAAUAGAUGGUCUCUAUCUUUUAUCCAAGCAGGACGCAGCUUUUAUAUUGAAGUUAUCUGUCCACAGGGGAACAAUUACAUUUAUGCUGCCUGGGACCCAUCUAUCUCCUGCUUCAUGUGCACCACUUAUUUAAAAUAUAUCAUUUCUCAAUUGAUCUUAGAAUCUUUGUCAAAAAUUGAUUAUAUUUAUGUGGGUUUAUAUCUGUGCUGUCUAUUCUGUUCCAAUAAUACAUGUCUACCUUUUCACCAAUACCACACUGUCUUGAUUAAUGUAGCCUUAUACUGGGUCUCAUAAUUGGGUUGCAUGAGAUCAGUCAAAAUACUUUUGAUUGGCAAUAAUUAUGCACUUCAGAGAAGCCUUAGAAACUCAGGAUAUAGAAUUUAUAAUAUUGACCCAAAAGUCUGCAAUAAAAUAUGUUUCUGUUCUUAGAAAACAGAAACAACUUCAAUUUCUGUGAUUUGCAUAACAAGUUCUAAAUGUCAUAAAUAAGUAGUAAUAUUUAGCCAGGUCCCACAAAACUAUCUUUACUUGCACAUGAUCUCAUUUGAUGUAUGUAUUAUGGUGAGGACUUGUGAAUGUAUAAAUCAAUCACUAAAUAAUACAGAUUCUUUUGGUCUCUGACAUAUAUACCAGGUCCUAGACUGACCCCUUCCUCACAGUGUUCAAUUACGAAAGUCUCUACCUUUAAUGGCCUUGGAGUUAGGGGGUAAAAGGUAAGCAUAAUACUUAAAACAAAAUGAUGCAAAAUUCUUCUUCUCCUUUAAGGAGAAAAACCCCACAGAAAUGUUCUUCAUUUUAGAUGUCAAGAAAAAAGUAGACACCAAAUUUUAAAAAGCUAGAAAACAACUGUACAUAGUUGGAAUUUUCACAUUUUUGUUAUCUUACUUCCUGGAGGCAUUUAACUUUUUAAUACAGAGUCUUUGUAACAAAAAUUCAGCACUGUUGAAUGAUGAUGAUAAAUCAUCUGUUCAAAGGAAAUUUUAUAACACAGUUACUAAAUGCACUCGCUGUAAUUAUACGAAGAUCAAUCCAUAAGAUUUGAGAGGCUGAGUAAUGUUGAUUUUCAAAGUUAUUCAUAAAUCACUGAAAUAAAGUGCUUAUGCUAAAGUUAAAUUGUUGAAUGAAAUUGUACUUUUAAUUAUGCCAAUUAUUCCCCAAGCUAUAUGGUCUGGGCAAAGGAUAUUAACAUAAACUAUGAAUUAUGUCAUACCUCCAGCUCUUGACUAAAUCAAAGAUAAUUUGGGUCUGCAUGGCAUCACUUCUAUUUCUAUUUAAAUGAUUUGACAAAUGGAAAUAGGGGAGCCGAGACUUAGAAAUACUGUGUUUACUGCCUGUGGAAGAUUAAAUGUGUCAUAAAAUAUUCCCAAGGGACCACAGUGAUAAAAUACUGUGAUAGGAUUGCAAAGUUGCAGAGAGAAAAUUUGAAAUCAUGGGUCAGUUCCAAGUACAAAUGCCAAAUGCAUGCAAGGUCUCUGCCACCAGGAUUAUUUGGUCCGCCUGGGAGUACAAAAUCAACCUUAGCAAAUAUAGCAUACCUUAUUUUGAUCCAAAUGUGUCGCUUGCUGUCUCAAAAAAUUCUGACUCCCAAAAAUGUCUCCAUAAAACUCUUUAUGUUGGUAAACAUGGAAAGUAGGAACCACAAAAAUAACCUUUAUUCUUGCUGUUAUCUCAGCCUGGGAGACGCUGAGCUCACAGGGCGAGCGAAAUGUAGGAGAAAGACAGGAAAAAUGACCAUGGAUCAAGGGUCAUUCAUGGAUAAAAUUUACAUUAAACUUCUUUUCCUGGUAAUGUUAUGUCUCUUCCUUCUAGAUUAAUGUUACAUUUUUCUGAUAAAGUCUGGUCAUUUUAUCAGAAAGGUGGUGUUCUUUGCACUUAGGAAGUAAAAUUAUAAAACCAGAGUACAGUUGAAAAAUGUUCCAAUGUUUUUGGUUUUGUUGAAUUAUAUUUGAAAUAUUUUUUACAUCUUUCUUUACAUAGUUUCAGAUCAUACCUUUCUUGAUACAUCCCCUGUCAACGACUACCCAUACUUCCAGACCCAACUAUAGUCUAUUCACUCCAUGUCAAGCCUCUAACACAAGUCUUUGCAUAUGGAAAGGCAGAAUGACAAACUCGAAAGGAUAUGAAUUUUGAACAGUGAGUUCAAAACCUAUC
This 6479-nucleotide long non-coding RNA is filed under the name Sus scrofa (pig). RNAcentral describes it as "lncRNA (ENSSSCG00015030742.1)". The record is from RNAcentral. Lineage: Eukaryota; Metazoa; Chordata; Mammalia; Artiodactyla; Suidae.